Molecule: long non-coding RNA, 1681 nt
Filed under: Sus scrofa (pig)
Lineage: Eukaryota; Metazoa; Chordata; Mammalia; Artiodactyla; Suidae
Description: lncRNA (ENSSSCG00005009670.1)
Source: RNAcentral
AGUCUCCAUCAGCAGAGGCUGUGGCUGGCGAGAAAUUCCCCAGCAGCGAGCACCCGGAAAGAUCCACGACGGGUGACUCCUGGCUUUCUGCCGUAGCUUAUGCUUGGAAAUCUCGGGAUAAAUCAGAGAAGCAGAAGACAAGCGACGGCUGUGUGGUGCCAGUGGAGUAGAGACAAGGGCAGGCAGUGACCCGAGGGCUGUGGAAGAGGCUGAGAAAUGCGGGAAGAUGCAGCUGCAGCUCAAACGUGGCUUCUUCCCUGAGGUGUUUGAACAAAGAACAUUCUGACCACGUUGACUCGGGAUGGCAGAGCUUUCAGCGUUAUUUUCUUUUACAGAAUCCUCGUGAAAUCUUGGUAGAGAAGAAGUCUUGUAGAGGCGGCCCAUGUGGAAAGGUCUUGGAAAAACUAUGUCCAUUGAGUGAGCACAGUACAUGCACCAGCCAGAGCGUGUUCAGGACAGAAACCUAAUUGACAAGACCAGGAUUCAGCUAAAGUACAACCUUUAAAGUACUCUCCAAAUUCGCAGUUUACCCAGCUUCGAAUAAAAUUUCCAUUCCGGUAAGAUACUGAUCCUAUAUCCCUGUACCUGAGCUGCAUACACCCAUCUGGAUACAGUGUUCAGGCUCACGGCGCACACAGUCCAUCCACAAGCGCUGUGAUUUCCAACUGCCGACACAUCUGUCCGUUCAGUGAGUCCUUCCUCCACUGCCACCUGCCUGGGCCACGUUGCCAUCGUCUCUCCAGGGUGCCCUUCUCAUUGGUGCCCACUCUUCACCUCUGCGAUCCUUUGGACCCACAGCAGGAACAGUGAACUUUCAAGGCAGAAAUAAAAUCAUGAGGCUUCCUUAUUCAACACAGUCCCCAGAAUAAGCAGUUUCUUAGCCGGUUUGUCUGCUGUGGUGUCUGUUGCACAGAUGGCUCGGAUCUGAUGUUGCUGUGGCUGUGGUGGAGGCAGCGGCUGUAGCUUGGAUUAGACCCUUAGCCUGGGAACCUCCAUAUGCUGUGGUGCAGCCAUAAAAAUAAACAAACAACCCCCUCCCCCCGGAACUGCAGUGAGAAUCCAAUGCACAUCUACCGGGGCUGCAAAAACCAGAAAGACUGACCGUAGCAAAGAGUGAUGAGGGUGUGGCAGGGCUGGAAUUCUCACCCAGUGCUCGGGGAUGUCAAAUGAUGCAACCACGCUGCAAAGCGAAAGGGCAGUUUCUUAAAAUACUGAACUUAACACCUGCAGAAGGAUCCAGCCGUUCUACUCCUGGACAUUUACCCCAAAGAAAAGAUACGUCCCUAUGAGGACUUGUACCUAUGCUAGUGUUCACAGCAGCUUUCGGUGUAAUAGCCCCACACUGGAAACAACCUAAGUGUCCAUUGGUUGAUGACUGGAUAAGCAAAUGGUGGUAGAUCCGUAAAAUGGGACACUACUCAGCAAAAAAAAUGCUGUGAUCUAUCAAUACAUGCAACAACAUGAGUCGAUCUCAAAAUAAUUACGAUGGAGUCCUGGUUGUGGCUCAGCGGUUAAGGAACCUGACUGGUAUCCGUGAGGAUACAGGUUCGAUCCCUGGCCUCACUCAGUGGGUUAAGGAUCUGGCAUCGCCGUGAGCUCUGGUGUAGGUUGCAGACACAGCUCGGAUUCUGUGUUGCUGUGGUGUAGGUUGGCAGCUGCUGCUCUGAUUCGACCCCUAGCC